GGAGAAUGUAUGUAAAAUAGAGGCGCAGAAGAGCUGAAUACAUCAUUGUCCAUGUUUUAUGCAUUACCGAAAGUCUCUAAAUGCAUGGUUAAACAUGCAUUGAUAUCAAGGAAAUAUCUCGAAAAAUACCUUUGCUAGUCACAGCAUGCUGAGCGAUGUGACCUUUGGUCAGAUAUUCUACAUUUCCUCUAAAUGCAUGCUUCAUUCAACUCCAUAGGAAUAGUAUUUUAUGAAAAGGCCAAUGUGUGUUCAUUUUUAUAUACUAUAUGAUUUGACUCCAGCGUCAAAAUGAACUAGAACCUUCUGUAACGACACACAAUUUGGCCAAUUAUUUCUAGUCCCCAUUCAAAUUCAACCAAUCACUGAGUGUAAACAACAAAACAUACCACGCCCCCAGGGAAAGUAUAUAUUUCAACUUCCUAAACUUUCCCUGUAUGCUGGAGGUAAUUUCCCCUUGUCAUGAGUUAAAUGACCACCGCCUUUUUAUUUGCUGGAUAUUUAGCUUUCGGCCAAUCACAUAACAAGCUAUAUUUAAUCACAAAUAAAAGAGCUUUAUCACGAAAGCAGCUCUGACUGAGGCAAAGGAGGAUAGCCGUGUAUUUGCCUGUAACUUCAGUAUGGUGGUAUUUAAAUCCUGUUUACCCCAAUACCCUGGUUAUUACCACAAUUUCAGACAUAACAUGCAAAUAGCAUAACCUCAACCCAGUUAAAUGAAGUGAUAAUGUUUCCAUUCGUUUCUAACAGUGGAUAUAAGCUUAUAAAGCAAUAACAACAAUAAUGCAUUACAAAACUGCACAAUGUUUCAAUAUACUUUGUUUGCGGCUAUAUAAUUAUCUGUAUGACAGAGCAUUCCUUUUUACGUCUAUGGUAUAAACUGGAUCAUUGCCUGUUGCACGGGGAUAAAGGAGUUACUAUGACGGAUAAACUGGGUUUAAGGUUCAUGGAAGGUUGAGGGAUUUGUGAAUUGAACACAACAAUGAAUUUGAACAGGCGAACAGAACAGUCGUCUGUUUCCUGCUGUAGCUGGGUCCUGUAUGGAAGCCCGUGCGAGGCUGUCCUGGAGACCCCGCGCUGCCUGCACCUCUCGUCUUGGUUGACAUGGACGAUGAAGAUGGCAGGUGCCUGCUAGAUGUCAUUUGUGACCCAGAAGCACUCAACGAUUUUCUUCAUGGAUUAGACACCCAUGUAAGUGGCUGCUAUUUCACUGCAAGCAUGGUUAUGAUGCCUCUAUUGUACUUGCCAAGCUAAGGAGUUACCUGGAUUAUUUCAUAGCGGUUGACCUGACGUAGUGAGGAUGGACGACGUGGUUGACCUGACGUGGUCAGGGUGGACGACGUGGUUGACCUGACGUGGUCAGGGUGGACGACGUGGUUGACCUGACGUGGUCAGGGUGGACGACGUGGUUGACCUGACGUGGUCAGGGUGGACGACGUGGUUGACCUGACGUGGUCAGGGUGGACGACGUGGUUGACCUGACGUGGUCAGGGUGGACGACGUGGUUGACCUGACGUGGUCAGGGUGGACGACGUGGUUGACCUGACGUGGUCAGGGUGGACGACGUGGUUGACCUGACGUGGUCAGGGUGGACGACGUGGUUGACCUGACGUGGUCAGGGUGGACGACGUGGUUGACCUGACGUGGUCAGGGUGGACGGCGUGGUUGACCUGACGUGGUCAGGGUGGACGGCGUGGUUGACCUGACGUGGUCAGGGUGGACGGCGUGGUUGACCUGACGUGGUCAGGGUGGACGGCGUGGUUGACCUGACGUGGUCAGGGUGGACGGCGUGGUUGACUUACUGGCACCAGAUAGAAUUAGAGGUUAUUGAGCAUGGAGACAAAGUGACCAGUUAGUUCAACAAGAUCACUGGCUACUGCACACACAUCUUGUGCAUUAAAGGGAUGUGUGUGUUUCUGUUUCAAUGGGCUUUGCUGCUGCUUGUGGUUUCUUGCUUUAUGAGAGAUCUAUAUGUGAGGGAUCUUUAGGAUUUCAGCUGUGCCUUUUCACUUUAUUAAUCCACAAUGACCAGUACUAAUCUAACACUAGCCCUCUUCUGAUUCUGUUUGUUCCUUCCUU
RNAcentral lists this long non-coding RNA (2073 nucleotides) under Salmo trutta (river trout). RNAcentral describes it as "lncRNA (ENSSTUG00000006441.1)". The record is from RNAcentral. Lineage: Eukaryota; Metazoa; Chordata; Actinopteri; Salmoniformes; Salmonidae.